GCCUGCAUGAAGCCGGAAUCGCUAGUAAUCGCAGAUCAGAAUGCUGCGGUGAAUACGUUCCCGGGUCUUGUACACACCGCCCGUCACACCAUGGGAGUUUGUAACGCCCAAAGUCGGUGGCCUAACCUUUAUGGAGGGAGCCGCCUAAGGCGGGACAGAUGACUGAGGUGAAGUCGUAACAAGGUAUC
Molecule: ribosomal RNA, 188 nt
Filed under: uncultured bacterium
Lineage: Bacteria
Description: partial 16S ribosomal RNA
Rfam family: Bacterial small subunit ribosomal RNA
Source: RNAcentral